GAUGAACGCUGGCGGCGUGCCUAAUACAUGCAAGUCGAGCGAACGGACGAGAAGCUUGCUUCUCUGAUGUUAGCGGCGGACGGGUGAGUAACACGUGGAUAACCUACCUAUAAGACUGGGAUAACUUCGGGAAACCGGAGCUAAUACCGGAUAAUAUUUUGAACCGCAUGGUUCAAAAGUGAAAGACGGUCUUGCUGUUACUUAUAGAUGGAUCCGCGCUGCAUUAGCUAGUUGGUAAGGUAACGGCUUACCAAGGCAACGAUGCAUAGCCGACCUGAGAGGGUGAUCGGCCACACUGGAACUGAGACACGGUCCAGACUCCUACGGGAGGCAGCAGUAGGGAAUCUUCCGCAAUGGGCGAAAGCCUGACGGAGCAACGCCGCGUGAGUGAUGAAGGUCUUCGGAUCGUAAAACUCUGUUAUUAGGGAAGAACAUAUGUGUAAGUAAAUGUGCACAUCUUGACGGUACCUAAUCAGAAAGCCACGGCUAACUACGUG
Molecule: ribosomal RNA, 497 nt
Filed under: uncultured bacterium
Lineage: Bacteria
Description: partial 16S ribosomal RNA
Rfam family: Bacterial small subunit ribosomal RNA
Source: RNAcentral